Molecule: ribosomal RNA, 468 nt
Filed under: uncultured bacterium
Lineage: Bacteria
Description: partial 16S ribosomal RNA
Rfam family: Bacterial small subunit ribosomal RNA
Source: RNAcentral
GACGAACGCUGGCGGCGUGCUUAACACAUGCAAGUCGAACGGAAAGGCCCUGCUUUUGUGGGGUGCUCGAGUGGCGAACGGGUGAGUAACACGUGAGUAACCUGCCCUUGUCUUUGGGAUAACUUCAGGAAACUGGGGCUAAUACCGGAUAGGAGCUCCUGCUGCAUGGUGGGGGUUGGAAAGUUUCGGCGGUUGGGGAUGGACUCGCGGCUUAUCAGCUUGUUGGUGGGGUAGUGGCUUACCAAGGCUUUGACGGGUAGCCGGCCUGAGAGGGUGACCGGCCACAUUGGGACUGAGAUACGGCCCAGACUCGUACGGGAGGCAGCAGUGGGGAAUAUUGCACAAUGGGCGGAAGCCUGAUGCAGCAGCGCCGCGUGCGGGAUGACGGCCUUCGGGUUGUAAACCGCUUUCGCCUGUGACGAAGCGGGAGUGACGGUAAUGGGUAAAGAAGCACCGGCUAACUACGUG